This 591-nucleotide ribosomal RNA is filed under the name uncultured bacterium. RNAcentral's name for it is "bacterial SSU rRNA". It matches the Rfam family "Bacterial small subunit ribosomal RNA", at positions 338 to 965 of the family's 1533-position model. The record is from RNAcentral.
CCUACGGGGGGCAGCAGUGGGGAAUAUUGGACAAUGGGCGAAAGCCUGAUCCAGCAAUGCCGCGUGAGUGAAGAAGGCCUUCGGGUUGUAAAGCUCUUUUACCCGGGAAGAUAAUGACUGUACCGGGAGAAUAAGCUCCGGCUAACUCCGUGCCAGCAGCCGCGGUAAUACGGAGGGAGCUAGCGUUGUUCGGAAUUACUGGGCGUAAAGCGUACGUAGGCGGCUUGGUAAGUCAGAGGUGAAAGCCCACGACUCAAUCGUGGAACUGCCUUUGAGACUGCUUCGCUUGAAGAUGGGAGAGGUUAGUGGAAUUCCGAGUGUAGAGGUGAAACUCGUAGAUAUUCGGAAGAACACCAGUGGCGAAGGCGGCUAACUGGACCAUUCUUGACGCUGAGGUACGAAAGCGUGGGGAGCAAACAGGAUUAGAUACCCUGGUAGUCCACGCCGUAAACGAUGAUAACUAGCUGUCGGGGCUCUUGGAGCUUCGGUGGCGCAGCUAACGCAUUAAGUUAUCCGCCUGGGGAGUACGGCCGCAAGGUAAAACUCAAAUGAAUUGACGGNUGAAGACGUGCGAGACGACACGAGGAGAGG